Molecule: transfer RNA, 74 nt
Filed under: Cellulophaga phage phi17:2
Lineage: Duplodnaviria; Heunggongvirae; Uroviricota; Caudoviricetes
Also listed under: 1 other name
Rfam family: tRNA
About the family: Transfer RNA (tRNA) molecules are approximately 80 nucleotides in length. Their secondary structure includes four short double-helical elements and three loops (D, anti-codon, and T loops).
Source: Rfam by way of RNAcentral
AGUGCUGUGCCUGAGUGGUCCAAAGGAGAUGAUUGCAAACCUGAAAAUCGUCGGUUCGAAUCCGACCAGCACCU